GAUGAACGCUGGCGGCGUGCUUAACACAUGCAAGUCGAACGAAGCACUUUACUACGAUUUCUUCGGAAUGACGGUUUUGUGACUGAGUGGCGGACGGGUGAGUAACGCGUGGAUAACCUGCCUCAUACAGGGGGAUAACAGCCGGAAACGGCUGCUAAUACCGCAUAAGCGCACGGUACCGCAUGGUACAGUGUGAAAAACUCCGGUGGUAUGGGAUGGAUCCGCGUCUGAUUAGCCAGUUGGCGGGGUAACGGCCCACCAAAGCGACGAUCAGUAGCCGACCUGAGAGGGUGACCGGCCACAUUGGGACUGAGACACGGCCCAAAACUCCUACGGGAGGCAGCAGUGGGGAAUAUUGCACAAUGGGGGAAACCCUGAUGCAGCGACGCCGCGUGAGCGAAGAAGUAUUUCGGUAUGUAAAAGCUCUAUCAGCAGGGAAGAAGAAAUGACGGUACCUGACUAAGAAGCCCCGGCUAACUAACCGUGCCAAGCAGCCGCGGUAAAGUAGUG
Molecule: ribosomal RNA, 510 nt
Filed under: uncultured bacterium
Lineage: Bacteria
Description: bacterial SSU rRNA
Rfam family: Bacterial small subunit ribosomal RNA
Source: RNAcentral